AGUGAACGCUGGCGGCGUGCUUAACACAUGCAAGUCGAACGAGAACGGGUUAUAGCUUGCUAUAAUUGUCAGCUAAGUGGCGCACGGGUGAGUAAUGUAUAGGUAAUAUGCCUCUUACUAAGGGAUAACAAAUGGAAACGUUUGCUAAUACCUUAUAACUCCUUAUUAACAGAAGUUAAUAAGGGAAAGAUUUAUUGGUAAGAGAUUAGCCUGUAUUGUAUCAGUUAGUUGUGGGGUAAUGGCUUACCAAGACUAUGACACAUAACUGGUUUGAGAGGAUGAUCAGUCACACUGGAACUGAGACACGGUCCAGACUCCUACGGGAGGCAGCAGAGGGGAAUAUUGCACAAUGGACGAAAGUCUGAUGCAGCAACGCCGCGUGGAGGAUGACACAUUUCGGUGCGUAAACUCCUUUUAUAUGAGAAGAUAAUGACGGUAUUAUAUGAAUAAGCACCGGCUAACUCCGUGCCCAGCAGCCGCGGU
Molecule: ribosomal RNA, 483 nt
Filed under: uncultured bacterium
Lineage: Bacteria
Description: bacterial SSU rRNA
Rfam family: Bacterial small subunit ribosomal RNA
Source: RNAcentral